RNAcentral lists this ribosomal RNA (84 nucleotides) under Proteus mirabilis. RNAcentral's name for it is "partial 23S ribosomal RNA". Lineage: Bacteria; Pseudomonadati; Pseudomonadota; Gammaproteobacteria; Enterobacterales; Morganellaceae. The record is from RNAcentral.
GCUGGGUGUGUAAGCGUAGUGAUACGUUGAGCUAACCAGUACUAAUGAACCGUGAGGCUUAACCUGACAACACCGAAGGUGUUU